Molecule: long non-coding RNA, 1158 nt
Filed under: Struthio camelus australis
Lineage: Eukaryota; Metazoa; Chordata; Aves; Struthioniformes; Struthionidae
Description: lncRNA (ENSSCUG00000001942.1)
Source: RNAcentral
UCCGCCUGGCUCUGCUGGCGGGGACGCUGGGCCCGGGAUGACCGAGCCCAGCUGGAGGCCCUGGGCACAGCGGCCUACGCACGCCCCGCUGUUAGCCCACGGCUGAGCUGGCAGGGCUGUGCCAGUCAGCUGGCAUGGCAAGCUGGUUUCUGUCCUCUGCCAUCCAGGAGAAGGCGGGCAGGUGCUGAUGCAUGGCCCCAGUGCCCUCCCUGCUUUCCCAGCCCCGUGGCGGGGGUACGGUACCACCGGUUUGGGUGGAGAUGCUGGGUAGGGUGCAGAUGGGCAGGGCUCUGCCUGGCACCUCUGCAGGGCUUGGUAGCAAGCAUGUCAAUUUGGGGGAGUGGGUGCAGGACUGGUCCUUGGAAGCUGCAGGGGGUGCAGUGAGCCCCCCCAUCUCCCUUCGGGCCCUGAUGUGGGGUGAUUUGGGAGUGGGUGCUUUUUGCACCCUGACCCCCUCCUCUUUCUUUUUCCUGCUGCAGGGGGUGACUGAGCUGUGUUUGCGGAGCAGGGACCUGAGCGGACCAGACGAAUGGGCAGCGACUGGCGAGCUAGGGCGCAUUGUGGGAGCGGGUGCUUGGGUGCUCCCUCCUCUGCCUCAUGCAGAGAGGGCACAGGGUGUGUGUGUGGGGCUGGGAGCGUGGACCCCAAGGCCAACGGGACUGGAGUGCUGAACUCACAAGUGCUAUGAGUUUGUUGGAUCUCUGACCAGUGCCCCUCACCUGCUGGCCAGCGGGCCACGCGCCUGGUUAGGCUGGCGCUGCCACCGAAGGGUGAGAGGCCCUGGGAAGGGGUGGGGAGCAGCAUAGGGCUGGUUUUGGGGAGGGCACCGGGGACAGGCUGCUAGAGGACGAGCCCCUUGCUGGCAGCAGCCUGGGGGAGGGGGUUUGGGGGGGGGGGGGGGGGGGGAGGAGUGGGGUUCCCCCUGCCCCAGGGCCUGGGGGCUCUGCAGUGGCCCUGUUAGCCCCAUCCCGCCCCUCCCCUCCCUGGGAGGGACAGGCCUGGCUUAAUGGGGGCUGUGGGGUGGAGGUGGGGGACCCCUGGGCUGUGCAAUGAAAAGGAAGCUCCACUGAGGGCACAUUGUGGGGGAGCCCGUCCUUUUAGGGGGCCCGGCUCCCUGCCGGCUCGCCCUGGUGCCCGGGGGUCUGCGGGGCGCAGGGG